AGUAAGAUCAGCUAAAUUUCAAAGCUUUUGGGCCCAUACCCCAAAAAUGUAGGCUAAUAAUCCUUCUCUUA
Molecule: transfer RNA, 71 nt
Filed under: Exostoma tenuicaudatum
Lineage: Eukaryota; Metazoa; Chordata; Actinopteri; Siluriformes; Sisoridae
Description: tRNA-Met
Source: RNAcentral